AACCCUUUUAAAUAAGAAAGAAAAGCAGCAGCAAAGACCAGCAACAGCCCCCCCAAAAAGGAGAUUAUUACAGAAAGAAAUGCAGGGCGAUGAGGACAAGGUCUUGAUAGGAUUCCCCCCCAGUUCCCGCCCCACUCUCUCUCAGGUUAAAGCUGCAUGCAGAAAGAAAGUAUGGGAAUCUCAUCCUGACCUGUUUCCUCUUUAUGAAAAGCCCGGUGCCGAGUCCAAGUUCAAGUUGAUUUCAGUAGUACACUUACUUGCAGACUGGGUUAUCUGAAAGACCCAUUUUAUGGUUUUGACUUUUGAGGACGAAACACAAGUCAACUAGGUUUUGGGGUACAUGCAGCAGGAGACUCCAGAGAAAGGAUUUACAGGGUAAUAACAAGUCAAGGAAAUAAGCUGCUGCUGCAGUGCUGAUUGCCAAAUGUUUGAAGAAAUGGCUCCACUUCGGUCCUCAGGAUAUAUUGAUCCUGGAUGGGAACAUGGCAUUGCUCAAGAUGAAAGAAAGAAGAAGGUCAAAUGCAACUACUGUGGGAAAAUAGUCAGUGGUGGAAUAUUCAGGUUGAAGCAACAUCUAGCUAGAAUGUCUGGUGAAGUUACUCACUGUGUUAAGGUUCCUGAGGAAGUAUGCUUCAAUAUGAGAAAAACCCUGGAAGGAUGCCGUUCAGGUCGAAAACGAAGGCAAACUGAAUAUGAACAGGCAUCUUUAGCUUUCCAAGCUAAUGAAUAUGAUGACAUGGAAGAAGCUUCCUGUAGUUACAAACAAAAAGGCAAAAGGGUGGUGGGUGACAAGAACUUGGUUAUAAGGUUUGCUUCUCUUCGAUCCUUAGGAUAUGUAGACCCGGGCUGGGAACACUGUGUUGCUCAAGAUGAAAAGAAGAAAAGGGUGAAGUGCAACUACUGUGAAAAAAUUAUUAGUGGAGGCAUAAACCGAUUUAAACAACAUCUGGCUAGGAUCCCUGGGGAAGUUGCCUACUGUGACAAGGCACCUGAGGAAGUGUACCUUAGAAUCAAGGAGAACAUGAAAUGGCACCGUACUGGAAGAAGGAAUCGGAAACUUGAAUCUAAAGAUUUAUCCACUUUCUAUACCAACUCAGACAAUGAGGAGGAAGAGGAGGAACAUGAGGGAGGGUUGUUGCAAUAUUCAAGUAAGGAUUUGCUGGUCAUUGAUGAUAAAUUUUCUGACAAUGACAUCAGAAAUAACAUGAAGGGGAGGUCCCCUGGUAGCAGCAGCAAUGGUGCUGAACCACCAAUGAAAAGAUCAAGAUUGGAUUCAGUGUUUUUGAAGUCUCUUAAAAGCCAAACAUCAUCACACUACAGGCAAACAAAAGCAAAGAUGGGUUUUGAGAAGAAAGCUCGAAAGGAAGUUAUCUCUGCCAUCUGCAAAUUCUUUUAUCAUGCAGGAUUGCCUUCAAAUGCAGCAAAUUCCCCAUAUUUCCACAAAAUGCUGGAGUUGGUUGGCCAGUAUGGGCCAGGUCUGCAAGGUCCUUCCAGCCGGCUGAUAUCUGGUCGAUUUCUUCAGGAUGAGAUCACUACCAUUAAAGAGUAUCUAGAAGAAUUUAAGGCAUCUUGGAUAAUUACUGGUUGUUCUAUUUUGGCUGAUAGUUGGAAUGAUCUCCAGGGUAGGACAUCAAUAAACCUUUUGGUCUGUUGUCCCCGAGGUGUAUAUUUUGUUUCUUCUGUUGAUGCCACUGAUAUAAUAGAAGAUGCCACCAGCCUUUUCAAGUUGUUGGACAAGGUGGUGGAAGAGAUUGGCGAGGAAAAUGUUGUUCAGGUAAUCACUAAGAACACUGCCAGUUUUAAGGCCGCUGGGAAGAUGCUAGAAGAGAAAAGAAGAAAUUUAUUUUGGACACCAUGUGCUAUCCAUUGCAUUGAUCAAAUGGUAGAGGAUUUUUUGAAUAUAAAAUGGGUAGGAGAGUGCAUAGAUAAGGCUAAAAAAGUUACAAGGUUUAUUUACAACAAUACUUGGUUGUUGAAUUAUAUGAAGAAAGAGUUCACAAAGGGACAGGAACUUCUCAGGCCAGCUGUUACUAAAUAUGGCACUACAUUCUUCACUUUACAAAGUUUGUUGGACCAAAGGGUGGGUCUUAAGAAAAUGUUCCUAUCAAAUAAAUGGGUAUCCUCUCGUUUUACCAAAUCAGAUGAUGGUAGAGAAGUUGGAAAAAUUGUCUUAAAUUCCACUUUCUGGAAGAAGAUACAGUAUGUGAUAAAAUCUUUAGAACCAGUUGCACUUGUUCUUCAGAAGAUAGAUAGUGAUGAAACCCAAUCAAUAGCACAUAUAUAUAAUGACAUGUGUAGAGCUAAACAUGCAAUUAAAGCUAUUCAUGGGGAUGAUGCACGAAAAUAUGGACCUUUCUGGAGCGUGAUAGAAAACCAAUGGAGCUCCUUGUUUCACCACCCUCUUUAUGUGGCUGCUUACUUUCUUAAUCCAUCUUACCGCUAUCGUCCUGAUUUCCUAUUGAAUCCUGAGGUUAUUCGUGGUCUAAAUGAAUGCAUUGUUCGAUUAGAAGCUGACAAUGGGAAAAGAGUUUCUGCAUCCAUGCAGAUACCUGAUUUUGUGUCUGCCAAAGCAGAUUUUGGAACUGAUUUGGCUAUAAGUACUAGAAUGGAGCUCAAUCCAGCUGCAUGGUGGCAGCAACAUGGGAUAAAUUGCUUGGAGCUUCAACGAAUUGCCAUUCGCAUGUUAAGCCAGACAUGCUCAUCUCUUGUAUGUGAACACACGUGGAGUAUAUAUGAUCAAGUUCACAGUAAAAGGCAGAGUAGUGUGUCUAGGAAGAGAUGGAAUGAGCUUACCUAUGUCCACUACAAUUUGCGACUAAGAGAACGACAACAACGAAGAAAGCCUUGUGAUGUGAUCUCAUUUGACAACUUAAUUACAGAAAACAUACUGGAUGACUGGCUUGUGGAGUCAGACAGACAACCCAUGCAAGAAGACGAGGAUAUCCUUUAUAAUGAGAUGGAACAGUUUGAUGGAGAUGUAAUGGAUGAGAAUGACCAUCAAGAAAAGAGACCUGCAGAUAUGGUGACAUUGGCAGGGGGGUUACUUGAGCCUUUGGAUGUUAUUCCUGCUGCUGGAGGAGUUACCACAGAUGAUGACGGUCUUGAUUUUCUUGAUGAUGAUUUGUCAGAUUAGUUAAUAUGUGUGUGGCUCAUCAAACCUGGAUAUAGGUCCCCACUUGUCAAUGAUGCACUUCUGCCUAUUCUCAUUUGACAUGCACGUAUUUUUUCUUCUUUUGUUUAUUGAUUUAGUAAUAUGAGUGAAUGCCUCUCGUAUUGAAACCACAGAUUCAUAUUGAUGGUCGGGGGUCUAGUUCCUGUAAAAAACAUUUACCCUUGAGUUUUUUUGCUGGGGAUCUUUCAGUUAGAGUGUCUUAUUGGACCAUGUCCUUUGGAUGAGUUUGCAAACCACAAUUCAUGCUUUAAUCACCUUGUCCCGAAGGCGGUUGAUUAGCUAAACAGCUGACAACCAAUGAGACUGAGUUGUUAUUAAAAGUUUCAUUUUAUGGCUACCGCAGGUGCAAAAGGAGAAGGUUCGGCUUCAGCUACCUAUGCUCGAGUUGUGAAGACGGGAGUGCCAAGAGCACAUGGUGGAAGAAGUGAUCGUGCUCUGAUUCAGAUCCCUUUUUUAUUACUCCGGGAACAGCUGGACUGGGGAGGUUAAAUGCCACCUCGUGAUUUCCAGUGUCAACCCAAAGGAUUGCCAAUUUUCUAGCCAGAAGCUUUAUGUCUGCAGUAUGUGGUCACAUCAAUCUUUGAUUGUUUUGCUUCUCAGGGCUCACGAAAAGCAGAGCGAGCUCUCAUGCAUGGCCAAGUCUAGAAUUCCAGGACGAAGUCAUAGCUGUAGUGUAUCAUUGAUCAUUUGACCAGUAAUACAAAAUAAAGGAGGAGAAACCAAUACGAAGCUCAACUCGGAUAAAGGAACAAUGAAAAGUAUCCUUUCAGAAAUUUAAACACGGAUUCCCAAUGCUCCUUAGGAUUAUGAUUACAAAUAAUUCCAGGUAAAAAGACACUGUUUUCAGCGACAUGUGUUUCGCUGAAGAGUAUACUUGCGAAGUACUGUUCGAUAUGAACCAGCUCGGUGCUCACCAAGAUCAGCAAGCCUUAUUCAGACUUUAUGUUCGAAUAGUAUCAGUUACAAAGAUGCGCAAGCUUUAAUUUCGAUAUAAAUGUGACGAAGUUCCUUCAAAUACAUGUUGAUGCACAAGACAUUGUUUUCUGCUAAUUUAUGUUAAAUCUAUUUA
RNA transcript from Populus euphratica (Euphrates poplar), 4241 nucleotides. RefSeq lists it as uncharacterized. Lineage: Eukaryota; Viridiplantae; Streptophyta; Magnoliopsida; Malpighiales; Salicaceae. The transcript is spliced from 13 exons. The record is from RefSeq and is a predicted model, not a curated record.